ACGAAGGGUGCGAGCGUUGUUCGGAAUUAUUGGGCGUAAAGGGUUCGUAGGCGGGAUUGUAAGUCAAGUGUGAAAUCCCCGAGCUUAACUCGGGACGUGCAUUUGAAACUGUGAUUCUUGAGUCAUUGAGAGGGUGGUGGAAUUGUUGGUGUAGGAGUGACAUCCGUAGAGAUCAACAGGAACAUCAGAGGCGUAAGCGGCCACCUGGCAAUGUACUGACGCUGAGGAACGAAAGCGUGGGGAGCAAACAGG
This 252-nucleotide ribosomal RNA is filed under the name uncultured bacterium. RNAcentral describes it as "partial 16S ribosomal RNA". It matches the Rfam family "Bacterial small subunit ribosomal RNA", at positions 525 to 776 of the family's 1533-position model. The record is from RNAcentral.